CUGAGCCGGGCCUCUGGGUCACUGGGCUCCGGGUCACCAAUUGCUGGGGUCUCCAUUCUCCACACCAGUGGUUGGGGUCCCAAGUUCCCUCGCUGGUCCUGUGUAACAACAAACUCCCUCUCCCAUCACCUCGUUAAACCCAUAGCACCUAGGGAAACUGAGUCCCACCCCCUCUGCAUGCAAACCAUAGGAAAACCAGGAAAA
Molecule: long non-coding RNA, 204 nt
Organism: Dermochelys coriacea (leatherback sea turtle)
Lineage: Eukaryota; Metazoa; Chordata; Testudines; Dermochelyidae
Exons: 3
Source: RefSeq, a predicted model, not a curated record